GAUCGCUAAGAUCCUGUGAUGCAUCUUAGAUUUUGCGAGAGACAAAAGCAGCCCCGGGAGCUGGCCUGCCACCCACAGCUAGGCCGUGGUGGUCUCCCGGUGAAUGUAAACGAUCUCACAGAACGUCACCGUCAGACAAGGCCGCUAUGUGACCGUGAUGGAUCAAGACAGAAAUAAGACCACUCCGUAGUCACGUCCGAACUCAGACAAAGAAGAAGAAUAUAGUGUCCAAACGAGAAAAAUUGACCAAACACCCCCCCCCCCCAUCCUCGAUGCUCUAAUAUGGGUAACUGCUGCUACUUUACCAGUUACAGCUUUGGCUAUGGCCCUAUUCUUCCCUCCUUCUGGAACAACAGGAGGACUGCUGCUAAGAGAGCAACUUGCUGACAGCCUCCCUCACCUGACUAAGGAUUGCACAGCGGUGUCUGGACGCCACCCUGCCACUGGCAAGCCACAUGAUGCUGACUCAAGCCACCACCUACGUUCAGCCCAUGCUGCACUCUGAUGCCUCCUACACGGGACUGGAUGGGGCCCAAACAGCCGAGGGGGCACUUGGGCAUCAAGGGACCUGAAUACUCCCCAAAUUGAUCAAAGGUGUCGCCCUGGCAAACCUAUGAUUAAGAGGGGGAAAUGACAAAAGAAAGAGAUAAGAACGAGGCCAGAGUCAACGUGACCCCCUCAAGGCUGAACUAUGGGCAGAAAUAAAAGAUUACAUUUUAACCUCCACUGUCACCAGGACGGCCGGAGAACGAUGCGGUCGUUUUUCCCUGCAGUUAGAACACUUAGAAAGCCCCGGGCACAAGACAAACUGUAGCUGGAAAGGGUGGCCGAUCAGAGCGGGACUCAGCCCUAACGUUGCAUACUCUGCACAUUUUUGCCUUUCCAACCUGGCCACCCCGAGACCGGGGGGGGUGGGAGGCGGGGGGUGCUCACCUAUCAACUUGCGAGUUGAGGCAUACUUCCCUGGUUUGCAAACGUUUAAUAAAGCUUCUCUUUUCUUUAAAACUUAUCUUUGCCUCAUCAAGCUGCUCAUUUGGGUUAACACAGCCUCUUAAAACAAAAGAAACAAAGAAGCAAAAAAACCCAGUAAGUUUCCAGACAAAUGACAAGACAAAGGGAAAGGACUUUGAGUUUCUGGGGUGGCAAACCGUGGAAAGGUAAAUAUGUGGGGAAUGAUGGAAGAUAAGGGCUAGUCACCAACGUUUGUUGUGCAGAGCCCUCUGGUGCCAGUCUCUGGGCUGAUAAGGGUCUAGAGUUGUCGGGUGAUUAACUUCUGUACAAAUUUGUGUCCUGCUUUUAGGCAAAUAGGG
RNAcentral lists this long non-coding RNA (1310 nucleotides) under Equus asinus (donkey). Its description in RNAcentral is "lncRNA (ENSEASG00005038531.1)". Lineage: Eukaryota; Metazoa; Chordata; Mammalia; Perissodactyla; Equidae. The record is from RNAcentral.